AGUGAACGCUGGCGGCGUGCCUAACACAUGCAAGUCGAACGGGCUAGUGCUUCGCACUAGUCUCUUUCUGGGGUUGUUACUCUAAGGCUACCUGCUAAAGUUAUUGCUUUAAAGCAGGGGUUUUAGGAGACUUUCCCCGAAAGGGGCCAGUGCGGAGCACUGGCCAGUGGCGAACGGGUGAGUAACACGUGGGUAAUCUACCCUCGAGUGGGGAAUAAGCUUCCGAAAGGGGGUCUAAUGCCGCAUAACGUUUCAUAACGAUGGUUAUGAAACCAAAGCCCAAAAGGCGCUCGAGGAGGAGCCUGCGUCCUAUCAGCUUGUUGGCAGGGUAAUGGCCUACCAAGGCUAUGACGGGUAGCCGGCCUGAGAGGGUGUCCGGCCACACUGGAACUGAGACACGGUCCAGACUCCUACGGGAGGCAGCAGUGGGAAUUUUGCGCAAUGGGGGAAACCCUGACGCAGCGACGCCGCGUGGAGGAUGACGGCCUCGGUGUAACGUCCUGUCAGAAGGACGAAACCGCAAC
Molecule: ribosomal RNA, 524 nt
Filed under: uncultured bacterium
Lineage: Bacteria
Description: bacterial SSU rRNA
Rfam family: Bacterial small subunit ribosomal RNA
Source: RNAcentral